This 2161-nucleotide long non-coding RNA is filed under the name Marmota monax (woodchuck). Lineage: Eukaryota; Metazoa; Chordata; Mammalia; Rodentia; Sciuridae. The record is from RNAcentral.
CUCCAACCCUGGCUCCUCACUCUUUUUUUUUUCCUAUUCAAAAAAUGUUCCCCUUCAGUCUUACUCGUGGAGCAAAAGAUAAAGAAUGAGUGGUAGAUGUCCAGAAAAAGAAAGGUGGCAGGCAUUCAAGCAGCGUGUGUCCCCAAAUAAGCUCUAAUUGAUCCUUUAUCAAUGUUCUGCUCUUGUUCAUGUGAGUGCAAUAGCCACCUCCGGCCGUCACACUGAUGGACAAGGGCAGGGGCUGGAGUCAAUGCUUGUGCCCCAAAGGGAAACAAAUCACCGUCCACCAGGAGCAGGAACUUUCUAACCAUCCCUGGAGCCAAACCAGUAGAGCAGAGAGAACAGUAGGAACCGCCUCCAGCAAUGUCCAGGAAGAGGCCACGUCCGCGGUGAAACCCAAGCUGAACCGCCAGCACGUUCAGGCUCAACGCUGAACCCCCAGAGUUUCUGACUGAAGGGUUUCGGGGAGCCUGGGAACCUGCAUUUCUAACAAGUUCCUGGGGACGUGAAUGACACCACCAUAAUAAUAAUGCCGCCCAAGGACCACACCUCAGAACCACUCUAGAGAGCAAUUAAAACCACCCCUCAUCGUGAGUGAGGAGCCAUAGUAUGCCCUCCUGAGUAGCUAUCAUGACCAUCUGGCCACGGCCCCUACAGGAAUGAAGUCCCCUUCUUUCCAGGUGACAGCCUACUUGCAGAGCAGAAGCAGAGCUGCCGUCCAGCACUCAUCGGUGCACACACUCAUGUCAGGAAACAGUGCUGGGUGUCUUUUCCCAGGUUCAUUUCAUCAGCAUGCCACUAUGACUUCAAUUAAACUGAUUUUGAAGAAACCAGCAUCUCCUUGUGUCAGCAAAUGCCACGAUCAGAUCGUUACCUCUCCCCUAGGAAGGACGACCACAGUCGAUACUGGCCACCAGAGGGAAUCACUAACCAAGUGGGGAUUUCUAAAACUAAACAAAGUGCCAUGUUAGGAUGCCACACACGCCAGCUGUCCUCUGAAGGGAGCAUCCGAUGAAGUCCUCUUCCCCCAUGAAGUGCUCCUCCCCCGACAUCCCCGACACCUGCAGCUCUGGGAGCCUAAGGGCCCCUCUGCUGGCUGCACAGGAAACCUCCACACACAGGUGGGGCAGUCACAGCCUCCAAAUGUCCUUGCCCACUGAGGCUCUGGGCCCUCCUUACCAGAGAAGUGAGUUGGUGCUUCACCCACCCCAGGGCACUCCCCCGUCAACAGCACAGGAACCCCCCAUGGACCCACAGAGCCACCUGACUCACAUCUCCUUCUUCAAUAACGAGAGCAUUUGGGUGGGUAUAGCCUCAAGGACAAAGAAAACAGAAAUAGAGGGCAAACCCUGGCUCUAUAAGAAAAAAUCACCAAGCAAAUAGAGGUACUCUGCCCCACAGUUUCUUGGUGAGGCCAAUACUCCGGAAGCCCCUCUUCCACAGAACCCUCCCUUUCCCCUGGGUUCUGGCAGCGAGGGAAACCUCUCCAAGACACUGUCUCUGUGGAGAUGCCCAAGAGACUGGCUCCUUCCACUGUCAAAGGAAGUCCAGGCAGAACAGGGGGAAUGCAGCAUUCACUCAGCCGAAGCUACUUGAGUACCGACCUUUUGUCAGACAUGCAGACAGACACCCUUGACGCGCAGAGGCACCAACGUCCCGCUCUGGCUUCAAGAAGGCGCAGGUGUGCAUGGGCACGUUUGGCCCCUGAGGUGUACUUCGGGAGAUGGAGGAGUCUGGGUAUGUUCAAAAGACCAGGCAGCCAGAGAGGAGGCCUCCACACAGCCCCCCCACUGACGCCACACAGCAGGAGCAGCCACUGCACUUUCUCCCUCAGACGGUGGGGAACAGCACCCCUCCACGUGUGUACAGAGGAGCACCAAUGCCCGGGACCUGAGUGUGACUGCGAUUGGAGAUGGAACCUUUGAAGAGGUAACUAAGGUAAAAUAAAUCCCCUGGGAAUCACGCAAUAGUGACUGUCGUUCUCAUAAGAAAAGAUUAGGACACACAACCCAGUCCAAGGGGUGCCACGUGGGGAAAGUGAAAAGGCAGACAUCUGCAAGUCGAGGAGAGAAGCCGUGCAGCCCCUGAUUCUUAGAUGAUGAGAAAACAAAUUCUCACUGGCCCCCGUCCGUGGUAUUUUGUUCUGGGAGUCCCAGCAAAU